GAUGAACGCUGGCGGCGUGCCUCAAACAUGCAAGUCGAGCGGGGCUAUGUAAUAUCGCAAGGUAGAACAUAGCCUAGCGGCGAACGGGUGAGUAACACGUGGGUAACCUGCCUGGAAGACAGGGAUAACGAUUCGAAAGGGUCGCUAAUACCUGAUAAUAUCCUUUCAUCGCAUGGUGAUAGGAAGAAAGGGGAAACCCGCUUUCAGAUGGGCCCGCGUCCCAUCAGCUAGUUGGUAAGGUAAAGGCUUACCAAGGCGACGACGGGUAGCCGGUCUGAGAGGAUGUACGGCCACACUGGGACUGAGAUACGGCCCAGACUCCUACGGGAGGCAGCAGUUGGGAAUCUUAGGCAAUGGACGAAAGUCUGACCUAGCGACGCCGCGUGAGGGAAGAAGGCCUCGGUUGUAACUCUGUCAUGGGGAAGGAAGUAAGUAGACGGUACCCGAACGAGGAAGCCCCUCGCUAACUACGUG
RNAcentral lists this ribosomal RNA (474 nucleotides) under uncultured bacterium. Its description in RNAcentral is "bacterial SSU rRNA". It matches the Rfam family "Bacterial small subunit ribosomal RNA", at positions 28 to 507 of the family's 1533-position model. The record is from RNAcentral.